UGCUAGUGAAUUUUGCUUUUGUUGUGUGGU
This 30-nucleotide non-coding RNA is filed under the name Rattus norvegicus (Norway rat). The record is from RNAcentral. Lineage: Eukaryota; Metazoa; Chordata; Mammalia; Rodentia; Muridae.